UCCAUUGCUGAGUUGGUAAAGCAUAAGGCUCUUAACCUUGUGGACGUGGGUUCAAGCCAAACGAUGGAG
This is a non-coding RNA of Triticum aestivum (bread wheat), 69 nucleotides long. The record is from Rfam. Lineage: Eukaryota; Viridiplantae; Streptophyta; Magnoliopsida; Poales; Poaceae.